GGAUGCUAUCAUACCAGCACUAAAGCACCGGAUCCCAUCAGAACUCCGUAGUUAAGCGUGCUUGGGCGAGAGUAGUAUUAGGAUGGGUGACCUCCUGGGAAGUCCUCGUGUUGCUUUCC
Molecule: ribosomal RNA, 119 nt
Filed under: Aegilops tauschii subsp. strangulata
Lineage: Eukaryota; Viridiplantae; Streptophyta; Magnoliopsida; Poales; Poaceae
Source: RNAcentral